GCUUCUGUGGCUCAGUUGGUAGAGCAACGCAUUCGUAAUGCGUGGGUCGUGGGUUCGAGUCCCAUCGGAAGCU
RNAcentral lists this transfer RNA (73 nucleotides) under Lachnospira pectinoschiza. RNAcentral's name for it is "tRNA-Thr". It matches the Rfam family "tRNA". Rfam says of the family: Transfer RNA (tRNA) molecules are approximately 80 nucleotides in length. Their secondary structure includes four short double-helical elements and three loops (D, anti-codon, and T loops). RNAcentral also lists the same sequence under 4 other names. Lineage: Bacteria; Bacillati; Bacillota; Clostridia; Lachnospirales; Lachnospiraceae. The record is from RNAcentral.